UACGUAGGGCGCAAGCGUUGUCCGGAAUUAUUGGGCAUAAAGAGCUCGUAGGCGGUUUGUCGCGUCUGCUGUGAAAACCUAAGGCUCAACCUUGGGCUUGCAGUGGGUACGGGCAGACUAGAGUGCGGUAGGGGUGACUGGAAUUCCUGGUGUAGCGGUGAAAUGCGCAGAUAUCAGGAGGAACACCGGUGGCGAAGGCGGGUCUCUGGGCAGUAACUGACGCUGAGGAGCGAAAGCGUGGGGAGCAAACAGG
RNAcentral lists this ribosomal RNA (253 nucleotides) under uncultured bacterium. Its description in RNAcentral is "partial 16S ribosomal RNA". It matches the Rfam family "Bacterial small subunit ribosomal RNA", at positions 524 to 776 of the family's 1533-position model. The record is from RNAcentral.